AUACGUAGGUGACAAGCGUUAUCCGGAUUUACUGGGCGUAAAGGGCGUGUAGGCGGUCUUGCAAGUCAGAAGUGAAAUUCCUGAGCUCAACUCGGGCGCUGCUUCUGAAACUGCAGGACUUGAGUGCUGGAGGGGAUAGCGGAAUUCCUAGUGGAGCGGUAAAAUGCGCAGAUAUUAGGAAGAACACCGGUGGCGAAGGCGGCUAUCUGGACAGUAACUGACGCUGAGGCGCGAAAGUGUGGGGAGCAAACAGGAUUAGAUACCCUGGUAGUCCACACUGUAAACGAUGAAUGCUAGGUGUAGGGGGUAUCGACCCCUUCUGUGCCGCAGUCAACACAAUAAGUAUUCCGCCUGGGGAGUACGGCCGCAAGGCUAAAACUCAAAUGAAUUGACGGAG
RNAcentral lists this ribosomal RNA (397 nucleotides) under uncultured bacterium. RNAcentral describes it as "partial 16S ribosomal RNA". It matches the Rfam family "Bacterial small subunit ribosomal RNA", at positions 523 to 918 of the family's 1533-position model. The record is from RNAcentral.